Molecule: ribosomal RNA, 464 nt
Filed under: Streptococcus sanguinis
Lineage: Bacteria; Bacillati; Bacillota; Bacilli; Lactobacillales; Streptococcaceae
Description: bacterial SSU rRNA
Rfam family: Bacterial small subunit ribosomal RNA
Source: RNAcentral
GACGAACGCUGGCGGCGUGCCUAAUACAUGCAAGUAGAACGCUGAAGAGAAGAGCUUGCUCUUCUUGGAUGAGUUGCGAACGGGUGAGUAACGCGUAGGUAACCUGCCUGGUAGCGGGGGAUAACUAUUGGAAACGAUAGCUAAUACCGCAUAAAAUUGAUUAUUGCAUGAUAAUUAAUUGAAAGAUGCAAUUGCAUCACUACCAGAUGGACCUGCGUUGUAUUAGCUAGUUGGUGAGGUAACGGCUCACCAAGGCGACGAUACAUAGCCGACCUGAGAGGGUGAUCGGCCACACUGGGACUGAGACACGGCCCAGACUCCUACGGGAGGCAGCAGUAGGGAAUCUUCGGCAAUGGGGGGAACCCUGACCGAGCAACGCCGCGUGAGUGAAGAAGGUUUUCGGAUCGUAAAGCUCUGUUGUAAGAGAAGAACGGGUGUGAGAGUGGAAAGUUCACACUGUGACG